CUGUAAAUUGUUAUUGCAAAAAGCUAGCUUCCUAAAGAAAACUGAAAUUCUAAAUUCAGAACCUUGAAUUUUAUUCUUAUAGUAUAUCACAAUUUCAACUAUACUUCAAUCAGAUGCUAUCAAGUUUAUUUCCUAGAAAAACACAAACACCAAAAACAUCCUAUUGCUUUAUCCGUUCAACAAAGCUUAUGAAAUUACUGAAAGAAGAUCCACCUUCACUAGUGCUUUUUCUAGCCAUUUCCUUCAACUUCAGUGAAUUGGCUUCUAUAUCCUUAUCAGAAAGCAGUUUCUCUAACUUUGUCUUGAUUUCAUGCCUAGUUACAAUCCCAUUGUCAUCAGGGAUCAAUCGUAGGCCAACUUUCCAAGUUUCGCAUAUGUAACUCCUGUUAUGGAAUUGAUCUGUAAAGUAAGGCCAACAUAGAAAAGGCACCCCCUUGCUUAGACCCUCCAUGGUUGAAUUCCAUCCGCAGUGAGAAAAGAAACAUGCGGUAGAAGGGUGAGCCAACGCCUUCUCUUGAGGAGCCCAUUUGACUAUCUUCCCAUAUCUUUCGACUCUCUUUGUGAAUCCAUCGGGGAAUUCCACAACCAUUCCGUUUGUAAAAUCUGAUCUAACGACCCACAGAAAUGGCUGGCCUACCAUCUCAAGACCAAGCGCCAGUUCAUUAAAUUGUUGCUGGUCGCAGACAAAUGUACUUCCAAAUGCAGCAUAGAUGACUGAGCGUGGAGGUUGUUGAUCAAGCCAGCUUAAGCUAGUUGAGUCCUCAGCCCAAAAGUUUCCAGCAUAAGUUCCCAAAUGAUCACUUGCAAACAAUGGACCGAUGGGUAAGAUGUUGGGAAUCAAAUUACAGGCUGAUGGCUCAAGUUCAUAAAAAGAGUUGGCGAGAAGCCAAUUACAAAUUUUGACAUUUUCUGCAAUUUUACGAACAAAGUGUUGAAACAUGAAUUUCUCCGUAUCUGGAUUGCCUGGGAAGCUCCAAAGGAGUUCAUUUUUGUUCCAGGCAGGAAUCUUCUUUGACAGGCAGAUACGCUCAUCUUUUAUUUGAAUUCCUGCAGAGAAUUUCAAGUGCUUCUUUCAAGAUCACUACCAUAUUUCAGUCACAGAUCAAAUUCUUUACUACGUAUCAAUGUUUAAAUACUAACCAAAACUAUUGAAUUGCCUUUUUCAUUUCGGUGGUAUGACAUUUUAGCUAGGUUUGUUUGCAUAGAGCAUGCUUUCAGUUGCAUAAUUGUCAGAUGACAAAGCAGAAUAAUUAACAAGUAAAAUUAAAGCCUAACAUAAAUGGUUUAGAAUCUUAGGUUUGAAUCUUCCUAACUGCUAAGACUGGGAUGAGGAGGAUUAUAGCUCAUCCAAGGAACAAGGUUAAAGUUUAG
Molecule: unclassified non-coding RNA, 1371 nt
Filed under: Hevea brasiliensis (rubber tree)
Lineage: Eukaryota; Viridiplantae; Streptophyta; Magnoliopsida; Malpighiales; Euphorbiaceae
Source: RNAcentral